GACGAACGCUGGCGGCGUGCUUAACACAUGCAAGUCGAACGGUAAGGCCCUUCGGGGUACACGAGUGGCGAACGGGUGAGUAACACGUGGGUGAUCUGCCCUGCACUUCGGGAUAAGCCGGGGAAACUGGGUCUAAUACCGGAUAGGACCCUGGGAUGCAUGUCCUGGGGUGGAAAGCUUUUGCGGUGUGGGAUGGGCCCGCGGCCUAUCAGCUUGUUGGUGGGGUGAUGGCCUACCAAGGCGACGACGGGUAGCCGGCCUGAGAGGGUGACCGGCCACAGUGGGACUGAGAUACGGCCCAGACUCCUACGGGAGGCAGCAGUGGGGAAUAUUGCACAAUGGGCGCAAGCCUGAUGCAGCGACGCCGCGUGAGGGAUGACGGCCUUCGGGUUGUAAACCUCUUUCAGCACCGACGAAGCGCAAGUGACGGUAGGUGCAGAAGAAGGACCGGCCAACUACGUGCCAGCCGCCGCUGUAA
Molecule: ribosomal RNA, 478 nt
Filed under: uncultured bacterium
Lineage: Bacteria
Description: partial 16S ribosomal RNA
Rfam family: Bacterial small subunit ribosomal RNA
Source: RNAcentral